GACGAACGCUGGCGGCGUGCUUAACACAUGCAAGUCGAACGGAAAGGCCCUGCUUUUGUGGGGUGCUCGAGUGGCGAACGGGUGAGUAGCACGUGAGUAACCUGCCCUUGACUUUGGGAUAACUUCAGGAAACUGGGGCUAAUAACGGAUAGGAGCUCCUGCUGCAUGGUGGGGGUUGGAAAGUUUCGGCGGUUGGGGAUGGACUCGCGGCUUAUCAGCUUGUUGGUGGGGUAGUGGCUUACCAAGGCUUUGACGGGUAGCCGGCCUGAGAGGGUGACCAGCCACAUUGGGACUGAGGUACGGCCCAGACUCCUACGGGAGGCAGCAGUGGGGAAUAUUGCACAAUGGGCGGAAGCCUGAUGCAGCAACGCCGCGUGCGGGAUGACGGCCUUCGGGUUGUAAACCGCUUUCGCCUGUGACGAAGCGUGAGUGACGGUAAUGGGUAAAGAAGCACCGGCUAACUACGUG
RNAcentral lists this ribosomal RNA (468 nucleotides) under uncultured bacterium. Its description in RNAcentral is "partial 16S ribosomal RNA". It matches the Rfam family "Bacterial small subunit ribosomal RNA", at positions 28 to 507 of the family's 1533-position model. The record is from RNAcentral.